Long non-coding RNA from Triticum dicoccoides, 2163 nucleotides. RefSeq lists it as uncharacterized. NCBI's taxonomy places the organism in Eukaryota, Viridiplantae, Streptophyta, Magnoliopsida, Poales, Poaceae. The record is from RefSeq and is a predicted model, not a curated record. The transcript is spliced from 3 exons.
UUUUCCCUGACCCCUGCCAACCCUAGCUGCCGCACAAACGCCAAUCGCCGCCGGCUGUCGAUCGCUUCCCCGCGUCCCCUCGUGUGUCCUUCGCCUCCCUCUGCUCGAGGCCUCCCCAUCUCGCGCUGCCAAGAGCGACUCCUGGUCUCAGCAGCCGCCCUCACCUCCCUCUCUCUCCAACCAGCCCCGCUCUCCUCUCGCAUCACACAGGCGGCGGCUCAACAUAUGCUGCAGGGUGUGGCGUAUGUGGCAUCUGUGUUGUGCUUCCGCCGGCUGGUUGUGUGUGAUGUGUGCGGCUGGAUGUGCAUCCGUGUUUAUGUGUGUGGCCUUCUACAGGCAGAGGAAGUCGAUGGUUGCAGGCAGAGGAAGCUGCUGGUUGCUGGCAGAGGAGGAUUAUGAUAGUUCCCUUGCUCUUUGCCAGAAAAAUUGAUAGUUCUCUUGAUUUGUUCUGGUCUGGAUUAGUACAAAAGUGCACUGAUAUUUGUUUUGUGGUGCGGGAGUUUCAAGACAACAGGUUUAGCAGGGAUCAAUUGCAACCUUCGUUUAUCUUCUGUUAUGUGAACCAAUUUGUGAUGGCUUCUAAAAGCACAUGGCUGGUACAGAGCAAUUUUUACACCAGAGCCGUCGUCUCCGUCGACUUCGCCGCAAGACAAUCUGCCAUCGCCUCCGCCGACUUUGACGUAAGAUCAUCAGCCGUCGCCUGGACGUACUUUGGCGCAGGAACCUGAAGGAAAGCGGCAACAAAAGCAAGAUCCAAAGGCGCAGUCGUGCAAGGUCGAACCAUCCAUAAAGAUCCUCUUCCUGCAGCUAUGAAAACUGUGGCAAGACCUUUGUUAAUGUGGCUGCCUUGAGGAAGCAUGCUCAUGUACAUGGCGAGAGAGGCAAUAUGUUUUUUCAGGAGCCUGGCUAUUUGAAGGUACCUCUAGCAAAUAUUCAUACCUCACACCUUUACCAAUGCAUACACUAACCGGUGGUGAACUUUCGUGUUUAUUAGCAUUGACAAACUUUUCAGUAAUUUCAUGGUUUAUUUUGACGGACCUUUCUCUAUUGUGCAUAGUUGAUAUUGAUAUAUCCAUCCAUCCAAUCCACGAUGAGUGUUAAUUGAUUAAUCCUGCACAACCAAUAAUUCAGUUAAUUUGAUCCUACUAGAUAUAUACUCCAUCCAAUUCACUGUGAGAAUUUUAAGAACCCAUAGGCAUCAAAGUCUUGGUCUUUUUUCCUGUCCAUGUGUAGGCACAAACAGUGCUCCAGCUCGGUCGGAUUAGAUAUAAGUUUGGUCUCUGCCCGAGCUCCAAUUGCUGCUUGGAUUUCCUUUUUUUUCCUCUCAUGCAACCGCAGAUACCAUCUGACGCCUUUUCUUUUCGUGAUUGAAUGGUGCUAAUAGAUUUCAUCAUAUGACUAUUGUUUCUCGGUUAGGGGCCUGUUAUAUUUUUUUCAGCUUGAUGAUGCCGUGGUCGCCCCACCGAUCAAAUCCCCGCACACACGCAACAACUCAACUCUACGGUUUGUACACCACCACCGCUUGAGCAGCCUGGCGAACGAUUUAGGUAAUGUAUCUGUAUAAUAUAAUCCUCCAUUACCAUGCACAAAGACUUCAAUUUAAUUUUAGAUCAGUUUAGUUCAGUGUGGUGAUGCUCAGCAUAAUAAGGUGUUGUGUUGUUAUAUUGAAAUAAAUGAUUCAACAGAGGUGAAUGAUCUCUCUGACUGAUGUUGCCAGUUGCAUCACAUACUUGCUAGCUUCCCAAAUGCAGUAAGCAAUGAGUACUUUCCAAAUGUAGCAGUGAAGACACUCAUUUUCAGAGCAGCUAUACUCACAUGUGCCCCAAACCAUUUAAUUGCUUUAAUUCCUGAACAAAUGUAGGUUGGUUCUCUUGCUUUUUACCAUGGUAACUUUGUAAACAUCAGAAGGCCUAAAUUUGGCAGCACACUCACUCGCUCAACAAUGAGCACUGGAGUCUAAAGCUUUGCUAUUGGCUGAAGAACAUCAAGGUCUUCAUUACAUGAUUAUUAGUUUCUUAAAUAUUUGUAUAACAUCAGAGUACUUUUUAGUUACAGAUUUGGCAAUACCCAGGACAUUAUUCUCCAGUCCAACUAUUGGCUUUCAAGGUGGCAGUGUGAGACAUUGUCGCUAUCACAGGAUCAUGUGGCAACGUAUUUGGUUUU